This 2348-nucleotide ribosomal RNA is filed under the name Staphylococcus aureus. RNAcentral's name for it is "bacterial LSU rRNA". It matches the Rfam family "Bacterial large subunit ribosomal RNA", at positions 3 to 2349 of the family's 2925-position model. The record is from RNAcentral. Lineage: Bacteria; Bacillati; Bacillota; Bacilli; Caryophanales; Staphylococcaceae.
UUAAGUUAUUAAGGGCGCACGGUGGAUGCCUUGGCACUAGAAGCCGAUGAAGGACGUUACUAACGACGAUAUGCUUUGGGGAGCUGUAAGUAAGCUUUGAUCCAGAGAUUUCCGAAUGGGGAAACCCAGCAUGAGUUAUGUCAUGUUAUCGAUAUGUGAAUACAUAGCAUAUCAGAAGGCACACCCGGAGAACUGAAACAUCUUAGUACCCGGAGGAAGAGAAAGAAAAUUCGAUUCCCUUAGUAGCGGCGAGCGAAACGGGAAGAGCCCAAACCAACAAGCUUGCUUGUUGGGGUUGUAGGACACUCUAUACGGAGUUACAAAGGACGACAUUAGACGAAUCAUCUGGAAAGAUGAAUCAAAGAAGGUAAUAAUCCUGUAGUCGAAAAUGUUGUCUCUCUUGAGUGGAUCCUGAGUACGACGGAGCACGUGAAAUUCCGUCGGAAUCUGGGAGGACCAUCUCCUAAGGCUAAAUACUCUCUAGUGACCGAUAGUGAACCAGUACCGUGAGGGAAAGGUGAAAAGCACCCCGGAAGGGGAGUGAAAUAGAACCUGAAACCGUGUGCUUACAAGUAGUCAGAGCCCGUUAAUGGGUGAUGGCGUGCCUUUUGUAGAAUGAACCGGCGAGUUACGAUUUGAUGCAAGGUUAAGCAGUAAAUGUGGAGCCGUAGCGAAAGCGAGUCUGAAUAGGGCGUUUAGUAUUUGGUCGUAGACCCGAAACCAGGUGAUCUACCCUUGGUCAGGUUGAAGUUCAGGUAACACUGAAUGGAGGACCGAACCGACUUACGUUGAAAAGUGAGCGGAUGAACUGAGGGUAGCGGAGAAAUUCCAAUCGAACCUGGAGAUAGCUGGUUCUCUCCGAAAUAGCUUUAGGGCUAGCCUCAAGUGAUGAUUAUUGGAGGUAGAGCACUGUUUGGACGAGGGGCCCCUCUCGGGUUACCGAAUUCAGACAAACUCCGAAUGCCAAUUAAUUUAACUUGGGAGUCAGAACAUGGGUGAUAAGGUCCGUGUUCGAAAGGGAAACAGCCCAGACCACCAGCUAAGGUCCCAAAAUAUAUGUUAAGUGGAAAAGGAUGUGGCGUUGCCCAGACAACUAGGAUGUUGGCUUAGAAGCAGCCAUCAUUUAAAGAGUGCGUAAUAGCUCACUAGUCGAGUGACACUGCGCCGAAAAUGUACCGGGGCUAAACAUAUUACCGAAGCUGUGGAUUGUCCUUUGGACAAUGGUAGGAGAGCGUUCUAAGGGCGUUGAAGCAUGAUCGUAAGGACAUGUGGAGCGCUUAGAAGUGAGAAUGCCGGUGUGAGUAGCGAAAGACGGGUGAGAAUCCCGUCCACCGAUUGACUAAGGUUUCCAGAGGAAGGCUCGUCCGCUCUGGGUUAGUCGGGUCCUAAGCUGAGGCCGACAGGCGUAGGCGAUGGAUAACAGGUUGAUAUUCCUGUACCACCUAUAAUCGUUUUAAUCGAUGGGGGGACGCAGUAGGAUAGGCGAAGCGUGCGAUUGGAUUGCACGUCUAAGCAGUAAGGCUGAGUAUUAGGCAAAUCCGGUACUCGUUAAGGCUGAGCUGUGAUGGGGAGAAGACAUUGAGUCUUCGAGUCGUUGAUUUCACACUGCCGAGAAAAGCCUCUAGAUAGAAAAUAGGUGCCCGUACCGCAAACCGACACAGGUAGUCAAGAUGAGAAUUCUAAGGUGAGCGAGCGAACUCUCGUUAAGGAACUCGGCAAAAUGACCCCGUAACUUCGGGAGAAGGGGUGCUCUUUAGGGUUAACGCCCAGAAGAGCCGCAGUGAAUAGGCCCAAGCGACUGUUUAUCAAAAACACAGGUCUCUGCUAAACCGUAAGGUGAUGUAUAGGGGCUGACGCCUGCCCGGUGCUGGAAGGUUAAGAGGAGUGGUUAGCUUCUGCGAAGCUACGAAUCGAAGCCCCAGUAAACGGCGGCCGUAACUAUAACGGUCCUAAGGUAGCGAAAUUCCUUGUCGGGUAAGUUCCGACCCGCACGAAAGGCGUAACGAUUUGGGCACUGUCUCAACGAGAGACUCGGUGAAAUCAUAGUACCUGUGAAGAUGCAGGUUACCCGCGACAGGACGGAAAGACCCCGUGGAGCUUUACUGUAGCCUGAUAUUGAAAUUCGGCACAGCUUGUACAGGAUAGGUAGGAGCCUUUGAAACGUGAGCGCUAGCUUACGUGGAGGCGCUGGUGGGAUACUACCCUAGCUGUGUUGGCUUUCUAACCGGCACCACUUAUCGUGGUGGGAGACAGUGUCAAGCGGGCAGUUUGACUGGGGCGGUCGCCUCCUAAAAGGUAACGGAGGCGCUCAAAGGUUCCCUCAGAAUGGUUGGAAAUCAUUCAUAGAG